AAAAUUAAAAGGACGCGGUAACCUUGACCGUGAUAAUGUAGCAUAAUCAUUCGCCAUUUAAUUGAUGGAUAGUAUGAAUGGUUGAACGAAUAUUCCACUGUCUUAAAAAGAAAUAAUAAAAAAUUAGAAUAAUAGUAAAGAUUCUAUUUAAAAUUGUAAGACGAAAAGACCCUAUAGAGCUUAACUAUAAUUUUUUUCUUUUACUAUAAAUUAUAAGAAAAAUAGGUAGUUUAGUUGGGGCGACUGUCUUUUAAAAAAAACAAAGACAAGCAAAAUUAAUAAUAAAAAAUUUAUUGUAUAAUACAUAAAUUUAACAAUUACAAAAGUAGGCUAUAAUGACCCGUUAUUAUUAAAUAAGAAAAAAUAACGAUCAAUAAAUAAAAGCUACCUUAGGGAUAACAGGAUAAUUUUAUUUUAGAGAUCUAAUCGAAAAUAAAGUUUGUCACCUCUAUGUUGAAUUAAGA
This 464-nucleotide ribosomal RNA is filed under the name Sertularella cf. fusiformis 1 CM-2011. RNAcentral describes it as "partial 16S ribosomal RNA". It matches the Rfam family "Bacterial large subunit ribosomal RNA", at positions 1919 to 2542 of the family's 2925-position model. Lineage: Eukaryota; Metazoa; Cnidaria; Hydrozoa; Leptothecata; Sertulariidae. The record is from RNAcentral.